Molecule: ribosomal RNA, 291 nt
Filed under: uncultured bacterium
Lineage: Bacteria
Description: partial 16S ribosomal RNA
Rfam family: Bacterial small subunit ribosomal RNA
Source: RNAcentral
AUCGAACGCUGGCGGCAUGCCUUACACAUGCAAGUCGAACGGCAGCACGGGGGCAACUCUGGUGGCGAGUGGCGAACGGGUGAGUAACACAUCGGAACGUACCCGGUGGUGGGGGAUAGCCCGGCGAAAGGCCGGAUUAAUACCGCAUACGACCUACGGGUGAAAGCGGGGGAUCGUAAGACCUCGCGCUAUCGGAGCGGCCGAUGUCAGAUUAGGUUGUUGGUGGGGUAAAGGCCUACCAAGCCGAUGAUCUGUAGCUGGUCUGAGAGGACGACCAGCCACACUGGGACU